AUUGAACGCUGGCGGCAGGCCUAACACAUGCAAGUCGAGCGGCAGCGGAAAGUAGCUUGCUACUUUGCCGGCGAGCGGCGGACGGGUGAGUAAUGUCUGGGAAACUGCCUGAUGGAGGGGGAUAACUACUGGAAACGGUAGCUAAUACCGUAUAACGUCGCAAGACCAAAGAGGGGGACCUUCGGGCCUCUUGCCAUCAGAUGUGCCCAGAUGGGAUUAGCUAGUAGGUGGGGUAACGGCUCACCUAGGCGACGAUCCCUAGCUGGUCUGAGAGGAUGACCAGCCACACUGGAACUGAGACACGGUCCAGACUCCUACGGGAGGCAGCAGUGGGGAAUAUUGCACAAUGGGCGCAAGCCUGAUGCAGCCAUGCCGCGUGUAUGAAGAAGGCCUUCGGGUUGUAAAGUACUUUCAGCGGGGAGGAAGGCGUUGAGGUUAAUAACCUCAGUGAUUGACGUUACCCGCAGAAGAAGCACCGGCUAACUCCGUGCCAGCCGCCGCCGUAA
This 506-nucleotide ribosomal RNA is filed under the name uncultured bacterium. RNAcentral's name for it is "partial 16S ribosomal RNA". It matches the Rfam family "Bacterial small subunit ribosomal RNA", at positions 30 to 523 of the family's 1533-position model. The record is from RNAcentral.